Long non-coding RNA from Heterocephalus glaber (naked mole-rat), 4923 nucleotides. The record is from Ensembl. Lineage: Eukaryota; Metazoa; Chordata; Mammalia; Rodentia; Bathyergidae.
CCCUACACGCUCACAUCCUCAGUUUUAAUGUUUUGGGGCACUGGGGAUUCCACGGGGGUCUUUCCACUGAGCUGCGCCCCUAGCCCUUUCUUAUUUAGAGACAGCGUCUCCCUAAGUGGCUAAGUUGCCCAUGCCAGGCUCCACCUGCGGUCUUCCUGCCUCGGCCUCCCGGAGUGCGGGAUGACAGGCGUGUGCACCCCACCCGGCCUUCUCAUUUGCAUCAGGUCCUUGCUAGGUGGCAGGAGGCCUACUGCGUUAGCGAUGCUGUGUGACUCACUGCCUACCUCAGGAGGUGAGAAGGGGCCUGCACGCAUUCAGCGUGGACCGGAGUUUUUCUCUUACUUUCCACAGGGUGGGUGCGAUCGGAGGGUGCAGAGCCGCGCUGACACGCUCGUGUGUGCGCGUGCUGUGCAUCCAUGCACACGCAGCAGAGAUCACCUCGGACGUCGAGGUCAGCUGGAUACCACGGACACAGGCAGGGGAGAGCUGAGCAAGCUGAAAGGUUGGGGGCAGGCGACCCAGCGUCCACGAGGCCAACGCAGAAGAGCCCAGCAGCGGGACCUGGGACAGGACCCGAGGUUCAGGGCUCUUUGGCCAGCCCGACUCGGCCUCCUGUCAGGAGGGUGUGGAGAGCUAUGCCCCAGGUUAGGUGCAGGUCAGGCCCGCGUCAUGACAGGGACAGCGAGGGCAGGUGCGGGGGACUGGAGGGAUAGAGCGGGACAUUUCACGGGCAGCGCUGCUCCUCCUGCCCCUCUGCCCCUGACGACUCGGACCCGGCCCGGGCUUGGCCAGCCCUGCAGGGCCCCGAUGCGCUCCCGCCCCGCCAUCCUGCUGGGUGUCUGGGAGCUGAGGACCCCGGCAGUCACAGCGCCCCCCGUUGGCUGUGAACACAGCAGUCUUCGUCAGGAAUCCCCCUCCGCCUGUGGUCUCAGCCUUCUCAGUUCACGCCCAGCCUGGGCGACAGGGGACUUAGUGAGACUCUGACUCAAAAAAAAAAAAGGGCUGGGGUGGGAGCCCAGUGCAAAGGCCCUGGGUUCUCCCGCAGCAGCGCGCGUGCGCACACACACUCACUGCCAUUUUCCUCCCCUCCCAUCUGGGCGGCUGUGACUCGAUUGCCCACUUUAGACGCUGGAGAGGGGACACUGCAGGGCUCCCCUGGGAGGGAGAACAGCGAGGCGACAGGGAGGACCUGCAGGUCUGGCCUUGGACACAGGAGAGGCCGGGCCACCCUGCCGAGCCCUCCCUGAGCUCCUGAUCUCUGUGCUGCUUCCUGCCCUGCACCCUGUCUCGGCAGGCCAUUUCUGAGGGGGAUCGGGGCUGAGGCAGGACGAUCUCUUCAGACCAGCAUAUUGGACACACCCAAAACCGACGUUGGUAAAACCUUAUGUGUACCAUAAGGAGCUUGAAUAACAGUUCAAUUCCAGCAGUUUGGCCAGGGCAAUUGCUACCUUUUUUGUUUAUUUAUUGAGGUUUAACUUACAGAAGGUGAAAUGCUCAGACUUUUUUAGGUACUAGAGAUUGAAUCCAGGGCCUUUGUGCUGAGCUACAUCCCCGCCCUUUUUUACUUUUUAUUUUGUCCCACAGGGUGCAGGACAGAUCGAAGGAGAGCCUGCCACGGUCCUCAGGGCCCUUGCACAAACGUCCCCUCUUCUGAGGACCCGCCCCUUCCUGGAGCUCCACCUCAGAUGUGAGCACCGGUCCGGAUGGCAUCGAGGGCUUUCCUGAAGCUUGGCUGAGGCCUUUGAGACUGCAGAUGCCGCCGUGAAUGCCUGUGAGCAGAUAUUUGUGUGCCGCUGUCUCCGGCCCCGUGGGGCAUGGGUGGCUCCACCCGGCUCUGAGGAAUCACCAGACUCUUUCCAGCAGUGGCUGCGCCUCCAUGGUCUCCACGGGCAGUGCGUGUGGCGCCGAUUUCUCCACAUCUCCAUUUACUUUUUAAAGUUCCAGCGGCACGGCACCUCGUGGUCAGGAGAGGGGCUGAGGCCCACGGAGAGAAACUCAAGGGCGCAAGUGCACAGCCUGCGGCCAGCAGGGGCGGGGCCCGCAGCUGGCCCUGCCCUGGGGACCGGUGGGGGUUGCUGUUCUCCGACAGAGCCAAGGCCGUGGUCAGCUCUGGAGAGCGCCAUUAUCCUGGACGUGGGGGACCGGGGUGUGACAGCGAGACAGGACUGGGGCCAGGAGAGGGGGAGCUUAGGCCUGGAUCCGAAGCCGCAGGCAGGAGAGGGCCCUGCGGGGAGGGAGAAGAGGCAGGGUUAGCCCUUCCAACCAGGCAAAGCCGGAAGAGGCCUUCAGGGUGCUUGAGUGUGAGUUAAGUACAGUGUCACUGUCCAGGGGGUGGGAAAAGUUCCACGAUCAAACAGUUGUGGGAACGCUCUAUAUCAGUGGUGGCAAACCUUUCAUUUCUCCUUUUUUAAAUUUUCUGGUUUUCUGAGGCAGGGUCUCUCUAUGCAGUUCAGGUUGGUCUUGAACUCACUAGGUAGCUCAGGCUGGCCCUAAACGUGGGGAUCCUCCUGCCUCAGCCUCCCGAGGGCUGGAAUUGCAGGCAUGUGCUACCUUUCAGAGCUUUCAGUGAUAACAAACAGCUGGCUGCAGUAGGUAGGUUUGCCACCCUCCGCCCAGUGCACCUUUCCUCUUGGAGAUCUGCAGUACCCUUUACUCCCCGAGGGCUCUUGGGUGGUGAGCUUUCUUGAACGGGGCAUUCUCGAAACCAUGUGACCCGUGUUUUCUUCUCUGCUGUGCCCUCUCUACGCCUGUUAAGUAUAACAGAAUCGACAUCUAGAGCCAGGCGUGGGGGCGCACGCCUGGGAUCCCAGCGCUCAGGAGGCCGAGGCAGGAGGAUGGCUGUUUGAGGCCAGCCUGGGCUACGAGUGAGACCCUGUCUCAAAAACAACAAAACAAAAACCUCCGGUCUGCUUUCCCGGAAGCCCACGGCUAGGGUGACCAGCUGAGGGCAGGGAGGGCGGAAGAGCGGGAGGAGCGAGUUCAGGCCUUGCCUCGGCAAAGCCCGCCCACCACCGUCUUCCUGCCAUCACACCCGUGUCCCGGGGGCGCCAAGAGUCAAGGCCGGCCCCCACCUGCAAAAGCGAUUGGCUGAGGGAGGGCCACGUGACCAGAGCCGGCCAAUCCCAGUGAAGUUCAGGCCUGUAUAGGGCUGCUGCGGGUGUCAGGAAGCCCUGAGUCUCACAGAAUGUGGAUGUGGAGAGGAAACUGAGCUGAAACAGGGGCUGGCUGAGAAAAAUUCACAAAGUUAUGAUCACAGAACUGUGAUCAAUGAAUAUUUGAACCCCUGGAGAAAUGUUCAGUGUACACUGUGCUCAGCUAUGUAUUCCAGGCUGGCUGUAAACUUGCAGCAAUCCUCCUGCCUCAGCCUCCUGGAUGCUGAGAUUACAGGUGUGCACUACCACGCCUGGCUAUUGUGCAUGAAUUCACCAGUGGAUUAAAUGCUUCAUGAGAUGAUCUCAAUCUAAGAUAUGCAUGCGUUCAUGAGAUAUCAGUAUACAUGGAGAGCAUGUGUGGACACAGCACCUACGCCCAAGUUGCACUUUUACUAUCAUGAAGAGAAAGAGCCUAUGUGCAUUGUUCAGGGUGCUUUCCCACAGCCCCGAGGCUGGAAACCUUGUCGUUCCCAUCUGACUGAGGAGGGUGAGGCAGGGCAGUGGCUCCUUGUGGCUGUCUUGGUAGGGAGCCCUGCAGACGUGAGAAGGGUGACUUUUCCCCGGCCUCAAUAGGACGGGUGUUCUGCACUUGCUUGGUUGUUUUUCUGCAAUUUAUGGUUGUUUGGGACAGGGGAGCUCAGCUUUCUGCAAGGCGCCAAGGGUGAAUGUUUCAGCUCCGAGUGCCCGGCGGCCCUGCCACACGAGCCCACUACCCCCGGCGGCAGCAGGCAGCUCUCCAGGCCGUGCUCCAGUGACACUUUGUUCGUGGGCCCAGGCAACUUUCACGUGGCAGCAGGAGUCUUCUUUCGUCCUUCCCGGCAACCAGGUCGAGCGCACAGCCCACCCUGCCCUCGGGUCCUAGCCUGGCAGGUGCCUCAGGCAUGGACAGUGCGCAGCGUCUGUCUCAGCAUGUCUCUGCUCAGAGUCUGGAGAUGCCCCCCAGGAAGGAGCUGUCCCUGGUCAUGGCUGGCGUUGUGGCCCAGGCCUGGCCUCUCCCAGGCCCCCAGUGGGCAGGCGCAGGUGGCCAGUUUUGCUGCAGAGCCGGGCAACACCGGCUGCCCAAAGUCCUGAGGGUCCGGGCGGGAGCACAGCCAUGUUGGGCCUGGAGCGGCUCGUGAAGUUGUCGCUGGUGACCCUGGUCCUCCUGGGAUGGGCGGGCGCCUGUGUCCCCCCCCGAGAAGGUAAUGCUGCCCCUCCUGUGUCCCCCUGGGCAGCCAGGCCCGACCUUCUCCUUCCCCUUCUCCUGGGGAUGGGGGCAUCUGGGUCGGGGGGCCGGGACCUGGCCGAGUGCGGGCGCCUGCCCUUGGUGGGGGUGACAUCAGUGUGGGCUGCAGUUGACAGAGCUGUGGUCACAGGGCCGUGAGACCCAGGCCCUCACCACACAGACCCCAGAGAAACCUCAGGAGGAGGGGAGGAGGAGGGUUCGUCAGGGAACUAGAAGGCACAGGGUCUUGGGAGUCAGAGGGGGGAAUUUUGAGCGUUAUCUUAGGGUGAAAGGCAGUGGUUAGGGGUUUCACUGGAGUAACUGCGUGCGCACGUGUGCAUGUGUGUGUGUGUGUGUGUGCAGGUUGUGUGUGCAUGCGUCUCUGUGUGUGUGCGCAUGUGCGUUCUUGCAGUGCGUGCGCAUAUGUGUGAGAUCACCUCCACGGGGGUGCAGUGAACAAAGAAGGGGGUGGUGCGUGAGCCCCCCAUCCUGGGUCUGGGUCUGCUUCCCUCCUGCACCUUUGUGGGGUGCCGGUGACCCAGACCCCCUCUGCCCCACUUUAUCCAG